Molecule: transfer RNA, 76 nt
Filed under: Pseudomonas aeruginosa
Lineage: Bacteria; Pseudomonadati; Pseudomonadota; Gammaproteobacteria; Pseudomonadales; Pseudomonadaceae
Description: tRNA-Gly
Source: RNAcentral
GAGACUCGAACUCGCGACCCCGACCUUGGCAAGGUCGUGCUCUACCAACUGAGCUAUUCCCGCAUCGUCUUGGUGA